Molecule: transfer RNA, 41 nt
Filed under: Pachydactylus wahlbergii (Wahlberg's Kalahari gecko)
Lineage: Eukaryota; Metazoa; Chordata; Lepidosauria; Squamata; Gekkonidae
Description: partial tRNA-Tyr
Source: RNAcentral
UGAGCUGUAAACUCGCACAGAGAACAAUGUUCUUGCUACCA